CUUGAAUAACUAUAAGAGGUCCAGCCUGCCCAGUGACUUUGUUCAACGGCCGCGGUAUCCUAACCGUGCGAAGGUAGCGUAAUCACUUGUCUUUUAAAUGGGGACUUGUAUGAAUGGCAUCACGAGGGUUAUACUGUCUCCUUUUUCUAAUCAGUGAAACUAAUCUUCCCGUGAAGAAGCGGGAAUAAACAUAUAAGACGAGAAGACCCUAUGGAGCUUUAAACUCAAUAACAAAUACUAACCUUACAUUAACCUUCAGAAUAUUAACCUUAAUUUUAGUAUUAUGAUUAUUAGUUUUAGGUUGGGGUGACCGCGGAGUAAAAAUUAACCUCCACAUUGAACGGGACCUAUCCCUGAGCCAAGAACUACAGCUCAAAGCACCAACAAAUUGACAUUAAUUGACCCAAUAUUUUGAUCAACGAAC
Molecule: ribosomal RNA, 424 nt
Filed under: Osteocephalus taurinus group sp. ABGD cluster 12
Lineage: Eukaryota; Metazoa; Chordata; Amphibia; Anura; Hylidae
Description: partial large subunit ribosomal RNA
Rfam family: Bacterial large subunit ribosomal RNA
Source: RNAcentral